GAAAUCGGGAAACAAAUUACAUGCACAACACAGCCCACUGUUUUUCUCUUCAUUUCCUUCUCCCCCUCCCAGGCUGCAGCAUUACAAACGACAAGUUGAAGUGAGUCACCAGGUCGAGAAAAGGCACUGCCGAAUGGGUCUAUCUUUACCUUGCUGCUUUGAUGACAUUUAUCUCGCUUCACUGCAGCACCAAAAUGCUGCCCAAACAGCAGGAGGGCCCUGUGCAUGUAAUGAUGGCCUUGGCCCUGUGCCAGGCCCUGAGAAUGCAAAAACAGAGACGUCGCUGGCUCCACUCUGAAGUUUUUCAUAAUUUCCUGGGGAGACAGACGCAUAAACAGUCACAGCACAAUGUGAUAGCAGAAGAGUUGCCAUGAAAGCAAGAGGAGGGGAUUGUGCAUCUUUGGGAGGCGGGAGAGAAGAGUGAGAAGGGAGGCUUUCUUGAAACGAUGCUCUCCAGAUGGGAAUGAAGCUGUUUGAGUGACAGUGAUUUCAAACCUAUGAAGUGCUACGAAAUUAUGAAAUGUUGUUAUCAUUGUGUAUACCGUUGAGUGAAAUCCAAAGAACUUGGUAGAAAGAGAAGCGAACAAGAAACCGGGAAAAGCAGAUCCUAAUGCUACUACUGCCACUAACCUGCAGUGUGAGCUUGGGCCACUGUCUCUCUGAGCCUCUGCUUUCUCACUUGUAAAUGACCCAGUUUGAUUAAAUUCUCUUGGAGAUCGAUCCCAGCUCUGAAAUUCUAUGAAUCCAUGAGCACUGGAGCAAAGAAGUUCUGCAGCAAACCUCACACAGCCUUGGAAUACAAUAGAAGGCCAAUGUAUACUACACACACCAACGGCCAAAGCUCACCUCUGAGGUUGGUAACAGUUAACCCCAACUGCAACAAUCAGAAACAGAAUUCCGGGGGAAUUCAAUGAAAAGGCAAACUAUAUACACCUCAGGAAUCUUGGAGCACAUCAUCAUGGCAGAAGAUAAUAACACAUCUAUAAUGGCAAUACUGAACGAGUCAGAAAAAACAUCAGAUUCUGCCCAGCAGCUGUAUACUUAGGGAACUGGGUGCAAGACCUCUCAACAUUUUUUGGAUGUGGCUUUGGCUAGUAAUGUUGUGCUAGUAGCUCUCUCCCACAGCUUGCAGAGCCCCAUUGCUUCCUACCUUCCUAACACACUGAGCACCUGCUGCAUGCCAGACAUGGUGGUGAACCACACCCGGGCCACUGAGACACAGUCUCUGCUCUCAGGGAGCUGACAAACAUUGGAUAAGGCAUUUUAACAGCCGGGGAUACUUUUACACUUUCAGCGUAGUCCUCCAUGGUGCUUAUAUAGUUUAUAUCUUGUCUGUCUACUAUUCUGUGAAAACAUAGCUGUUUGUGUAUUCAGCUCAGAUUUGCUUCUUCACCCUCAGCCCUCCAGGAGCUUCUGGAUGUUAAAUAUUAUCUCUCCAGGUGAGUC
Molecule: long non-coding RNA, 1446 nt
Filed under: Equus asinus (donkey)
Lineage: Eukaryota; Metazoa; Chordata; Mammalia; Perissodactyla; Equidae
Description: lncRNA (ENSEASG00005029475.1)
Source: RNAcentral